GUCCAACGGAAUUGUGUCAUUAUUAUUAAAACGUUUGUUUUGAUGAAACAGUCAUGAAAAUGCCACAACAUUGUCAAUAUAAUUUGCAAUGGAUAUAUAUGCCAAUCUUGCUCGCAGCUAUAACAGUAUUAGUUUCGUCAGAAAAAAUGAUGAACAGUUGCUUUAGCCAAUGCAAUAAGCUACAUGAUAAAUGACGUGUAAUCAUUUAAAGAUCAAUAAGAUGAACUUUUUAUUUCCUGAAUUGCUGUUUUGAACUGUAAGACAUUAAGACCUUGUUUCAAAUCUACGCUGCCAGUAAAUAGCCAUACCGCCCAAUGUACCAAUAAAACUAGCGCGUGGCGUCGUUCUCUCCUCAUACCGAUAUCGAUGAGCAGACGAACCUGAUCCUCCAUCAGUACCACAGUGCCGUGACACGUCUGCAAGAAUCCUGGUGACAGAACAAAUUGUAACACUUAUAAACAACAUCUGGAACUAACUAGAUAUAUUGGAGAUGAUGCAAUACAUGUGCCGACUUACCAUCUUGUUCCUUGUAUGUACGAUCUUGAUGACGUCAUCAGUGCAUAUGGCUUCAGUUUUCAGAGAUCAGGACGAUGUUAUCGACACCAUUUUAGACUCGGAAAUAGCUUCCCUUGACAAAAGAAGAAUGGGAUGGGCAAAAUGUAACCGCAUGUUUAAAUGGAGAUGUGGAAAAUCUAAAACCGUUCACCGGAAGAGGAACCUAGUUUUCGGAGAAAUCUGAUGAACGAAGAAGCGUUGCCAUUUCCCCUCAUUAAUACACAUAUGUCUGCAAAUAUUACUCUUUAAUCUGAAAUCACGUAAACAUUUUCACUUGUUUUGCCUGUUAUCUGAACGCGAAGUAAACAAGAGCAAACAUCCUAAAUACGCACGUUUCAACAAAAGAAGCCAGUUUGGCAUUCACAGAAAAAUAUAAGAGAACAGUUUGAAUUUAUUUUUAUAUAUCGGUCACCAUCAAAUGUUCCUUCCGGUUUACACACUUUAGCGUUAAGAUGUUUCAGCAUGAUGACACUUUAAACUGACCAAUGAGAGUAAUCCUAUCACCGGUCGUCAAGAUAAUUAUAAAACAAGUACACAAACCAAAUUUCAUUGUAUAUAAAAUGUUUAUCAAAAUAAACUUAUAUUCUGUC
Molecule: long non-coding RNA, 1145 nt
Organism: Pecten maximus
Lineage: Eukaryota; Metazoa; Mollusca; Bivalvia; Pectinida; Pectinidae
Exons: 4
Source: RefSeq, a predicted model, not a curated record